AGAUUGAACGCUGGCGGCAUGCCUUACACAUGCAAGUCGAACGGCAGCACGGGAGCAAUCCUGGUGGCGAGUGGCGAACGGGUGAGUAAUACAUCGGAACGUGCCCAAUCGUGGGGGAUAACGCAGCGAAAGCUGUGCUAAUACCGCAUAAGAUCUACGGAUGAAAGCAGGGGAUCGCAAGACCUUGCGCGAAUGGAGCGGCCGAUGGCAGAUUAGGUAGUUGGUGAGGUAAAGGCUCACCAAGCCUUCGAUCUGUAGCUGGUCUGAGAGGACGACCAGCCACACUGGGACUGAGACACGGCCCAGACCUCCUACGGGAGGCAGCAGUGGGGAAUUUGG
Molecule: ribosomal RNA, 339 nt
Filed under: uncultured soil bacterium
Lineage: Bacteria
Description: bacterial SSU rRNA
Rfam family: Bacterial small subunit ribosomal RNA
Source: RNAcentral